UGCCCCAACAAUUCUUACCUUUUUUGUGAUGUUUCUCUCAAAUAAAGAGUAAGAAUAGGAUUCUUAACUACAUAUAUAUUUAACUUUCAAGAGAUAGUCCUUCUGUCAGUAAAGCAUGGCUCAGGAAAAAGAAAGAGAGAGCUGUAAGGUUUCAUUAUAAUAUUAUCUCGUUCUAGGUCAGGAAGAAAGUCAGCCAUAAAAAAACCCCUGUGAUUUGUCUUUUUGCUCAAGGGACUGAACACCUUGGACACCUGAGAAAUUGCUUUUACUUACUAUGAUGAGCUGACUGGUAGAUUUCACUCAGGUGCUGCAAAGAAGUUGAAAAUGGCCUUUGUUUUCCUGAUUAUGAGGCUGUUGGCACGAGUAUGUGCGGCCUGGGACUCUUCACUACCUUCAGUCCAUGAGCCAGGUUGACCAGGCAACCACCGUUAGAACAUAGCUGGCUGCUGUGACGAGGAAGAGAAAGUGCGUGCGCGCAAACACAAGUGGAGAAGGAGCAGAG
Long non-coding RNA from Lynx canadensis (Canada lynx), 502 nucleotides. RefSeq lists it as uncharacterized. The record is from RefSeq and is a predicted model, not a curated record. The transcript has 3 exons. Lineage: Eukaryota; Metazoa; Chordata; Mammalia; Carnivora; Felidae.